GACGUAGGGCGCGAGCGUUGUCCGGAUUUAUUGGGCGUAAAGAGCUCGUAGGCGGCUCGUUGCGUCGGCUGUGAAAACCCGCAGCUCAACUGUGGGCUUGCAGCUGAUACGGGCGGGCUGGAGUUCGGUAGGGGAGACUGGAAUUCCUGGUGUAGCGGUGAAAUGCGCAGAUAUCAGGAGGAACACCGGUGGCGAAGGCGGGUCUCUGGGCCGAAAUUGACGCUGAGGAGCGAAAGCGUGGGGAGCAAACAGG
This 253-nucleotide ribosomal RNA is filed under the name uncultured bacterium. RNAcentral describes it as "partial 16S ribosomal RNA". It matches the Rfam family "Bacterial small subunit ribosomal RNA", at positions 524 to 776 of the family's 1533-position model. The record is from RNAcentral.